Molecule: transfer RNA, 83 nt
Filed under: Felis catus (domestic cat)
Lineage: Eukaryota; Metazoa; Chordata; Mammalia; Carnivora; Felidae
Rfam family: tRNA
About the family: Transfer RNA (tRNA) molecules are approximately 80 nucleotides in length. Their secondary structure includes four short double-helical elements and three loops (D, anti-codon, and T loops). Further hydrogen bonds mediate the characteristic L-shaped molecular structure. tRNAs have two regions of fundamental functional importance: the anti-codon, which is responsible for specific mRNA codon recognition, and the 3' end, to which the tRNAs corresponding amino acid is attached (by aminoacyl-tRNA synthetases). tRNAs cope with the degeneracy of the genetic code in two manners: having more than one tRNA (with a specific anti-codon) for a particular amino acid; and 'wobble' base-pairing, i.e. permitting non-standard base-pairing at the 3rd anti-codon position.
Source: Rfam by way of RNAcentral
ACCUUGGUAGCUCAGUCGGUUGAGCGUCUGACUGCGGCUCAGGUCACGAUCUCAGUUUGUGGGUUUGAGCCCCGUGUUGGGUG